Molecule: long non-coding RNA, 4967 nt
Organism: Solanum tuberosum (potato)
Lineage: Eukaryota; Viridiplantae; Streptophyta; Magnoliopsida; Solanales; Solanaceae
Exons: 8
Source: RefSeq, a predicted model, not a curated record
CCUUUUUAAUUUAUUUAUUAAUUUUUCAAUGGAUAAAUCACGGAUUGAAAGCCCCAGACCUCAAACGAGUACUUUCUUGGUUUGGAUAAAUUUCUUGAUUUUGCAUUUAAGAAUGCGACUGUUGAAGAUACGAUUAGAUGUCCAUGUCCUAUAUGUCAUUUUAGCAAGUGGAAAACUAGAGUGGAAGUGCAGGAUCAUUUGAUUUGCAAUCCAUUCGCUCAUAAUUAUGUUACUUGGAAUAUUCAUGGUGAGAAAAAGGUGUUAAGAGUCUUCUAGAGAUAGAGCUGCUACGCAAGGGACAUUUCAUCCAGAAAAUCCAAUAGAAACAAUGAUUAUUGAUGCAUUUGGGCAGUUUUGGAAGCAUUCAAGUAGUUGAUGAAGGGACAUCUCAACCAUUGGGUUCAACUAGAAUGUCAAAUCAGGGGCAUAGGGAGGGUUCUGGUGACUUUCAUUAUUUUCUCAAAGAUGGAAGUGAAACGUUGUACGAAGGAAGCAAGUACACAAAGCUAGAGUUUUUAAUAAAAUUGUAUCAUAUAAAGGUCUAUUGUCGAUUAACUGACAAGGCAAUGACCAUGAUACUGGAUUUGUUGAGAGAUGCAUUUGAAUAUGCAAAGUUACCUCCUUUUUAUGAGGCCAAAAAAACAAUUAAGAAACUUGGCCUCGACUACACUAAGAUUCCAACAUGUCCAAAUAAUUGUAUGAUAUUCUGGGAAGGUGAUUCAGAAUUGGAAGUAUGUAAACAUAGUGGUACAUCUAAAUGGAGUCCUAAUAAGAAAAAACAAGUAAGCUGCAAAGGUUUUGCUUUACUUUCCAUUGAAGGCAAGGUUGAAAAGGUUAUUUAUGUGCAGCAAGACUGUUGAGCAUAUGAGAUUGCAUGCUUUAGAAAGUAACCCAGAUGUGCUUAUGAGGCAUCCAAGGGAUGGUGAGGCAUGGAAGACAUUUGAUCGGAUUCACUCUGGAUUUUCUUCUGAUCCUCGAAAUAUUCGCUUGGGCCUUGCUAGUGAUGGUUUCAAUCCUUUUGGAACAAUGAGUUCUACCUAUAGUACUUGGCCAGUCUUCUUGAUUCCGUACAAUCUUCCUCCUUGGAUGUGUAUGAAACACACCUCCUUCAUCUUAUCAAUGAUCAUCCCAGGCAAGCAAACGCCUGGAAAUAAUAGAGAUGUAUACUUUCAACCGCUUGUGAAGGAAUUGCGUGAGUUAUGGAAUGAUGGUGUUGAAACAUUUGACUCAUCAUUGAAUGAAACUUUUAGAGUGCAUGCAGCUCUUAUGUAGACAAUUAGCGACUUUCCUGGAUUAGGUAUCUGGAACACACAUACUGGUUUUGCUUGUCCAACUUGUAACUUUGACACUGAACCUUGUCGUCUCCGUCAUGGUAAAAAGUGGUGUUUUAUGGGUCAUCGACGUUUUCUGAGAAGAAAUCACAGGUUUAGAUUAAGCUGAGUACGCUUUAAUGGAAGCACAGAGGAGAGGAAUCCACCAUUAAAAUUAUCAGGAUUUGAUAUUUUGAGACAAAUUGCUGAAGGGAGGAGUAAAAUUGGAUGGUAGAAGGAAAAGAUCUAGACGAGCAACUAAACAAUGGAACACGAGAAGUAUUUUCUUUGAACUUCCAAAUUGGGAGUCCAACUUGUUGCGUCAUAAUCUAGAUUUUAUGCAUAUUGAAAAAAAAAUGUGACAAUAUCAUAUACGUUGCUGGAUGAUAAAUCAAAGUCAAAAUAUAAUGCUAAUGCCAGCAAAGAUCUAAGAGAAAUGAGAAUAGGGCCUGAUAUUUUGUUGAAGGAUGAUGGAUCGUAUAACCUAGCUAUGUUUUCACUUAUGACUGAUAUAAAAAAGAAGGUCGACACCAAAAAGUUGUUUCUUACAACUUUGAAGAAUAUUAAAGUACCAGAUGGCUACUCAAGUAACAUUUCCAGAUGGGUUGAUCUGGCACAAAAAAAAUUCUGGGUUGAAAAGUCAUGAUAGUCAUGUUCUUUUAGAGCAGUUACUACCAUUGGCAAUUCGCAAUGUGUUGCCAGAUCAUGUAGUUAUAUUUUUGGUGGAAUUUCCCUCAUUUUUAGAGCCCUAUCUAGCAAAAUUUUGAAUCCUUCGGAGCUUGAUAUUCUCUAGGAGCGCUUUAUAAUCAGACUUUGUCACCUAGAGAUGCUAUUUCCUCCAUCACUCUUUACUGUAAUGGUUCAUUUAUAAGUUCAUCUAGUAGAGGAAGCAAAACUCGGAGGUCCAGUGCAUUACCGAAACAUGUAUCCUGUGGAGAGGGAAUAGGUUAUUGUAAGCCCUAUGUACGGAAUAAGUCACAACCAGAGGGUUGUAUAGAUGAGGGCCAUAUAGCUGAAGAGACUCUUACCUUUUGUUCUUGGUAUAUUGAGGAUAUUGAGACAAGGUUCAACAGACCUAGGCGUGUCUGUGAUGAACCAACUGAUAUGCCUUCUGGAAUGUCAUCUCUCUUCUCUCAAUUGGGUAAACCUGCAUCAGCGUCAGAAAAACUUCCCUUUAAAUCCUAUGCAGAAACUACAAGCUCAUCGAUAUGUUCUUCUGAAUUGUGCAAUAGUCACGCCAUUUGUGGAUUUCAUAUAGAGAAUUUAGAGAAUACAUAAAGAGGAGUUCAAGAGGAAAAAGACCUUCACCUACAGAGAUAGAGAGGAGAGUUAAUAAAUAGUUUGUUGAUUGGUUUCAAAAGCAGAUUAUGAAUCAAGACACAAUAGAUACAAUGUCUAUCGAUCUAAAGUUUUUAGCAUGAGGUCCAUUUGUAAAUGCAAGAAGAUUUACUGCAUAUAACAUCAAUGGGUCCAAAUUUCGAACUUUGGCUCGAGAAGAAGGUUUGAAAACACAGAAUAGUGGAGUUUUUUUAACUUCCAAAACAUCAUGUGUUGCAAGCACUGUUGACGGAAAGUUAAGGCAAGAAGAGUUACCAUAUAAUGGGAAGUUUGAAGAUAUUGUUGAGAUUAAUUACAAUGGACGGCUCAAGGUUGUUCUUUUCAAAUGUAAAUGGGCUGAUACUACUCAAGAUAGAGGGUAUCAAAAGGAUCUUUAGAAUUUUAAUUGUGUUAAUUUUGAUAGAUUGAUUCAUACUGGUGAACGUGAAGAACAUGAGCCUUACAUCGAAGCAUCUCAAGCACAAACAGUGUACUAUGUGGAUGAUAUUGUCAAUAAAGGGUGGAGUAUUGAUGUGCAUCUAAAGCCAAGAGAUUUAUACAAUAUGGGAGAAGUAAUGGAAGAACAAGUAUAUGAGAAUGAACCAUACCAAGAGCAAGAACUUGACCAAUUUUUCGUUGAUGGUGAUGAGUAUGUUCAACUAGCUACAGAUUAUAUAAUUGAUGAUACAGUAGAGGCAUAUGUUGCUACUAACCUAGCAACAGAUGCAAUGUCUGACUGAGUUUUAUUGAAGAUUUUCGUUAAUUCGGUUUUUUAUUGAAAUUUUCUAUGUUGAUAUAGUUAUUGGCAUUUGAUGGGAUAUGUUUGAUUCAUUAGAAAAAGAUUGAACUUUUGAUUGGAGAAAAAUUUUCUUUUAGAGAUUUGAUUUUAAAUUUCAAAGGACAUAAUUAUGGAUGAAACUGUACAUAGUUCUUUCUAUAGAUAAAUUGUAAUUUUUAGCCAAGUCUAGUUAAUUGUGGUGUUUAAUUAUCUGCUCAAAGCAACCACGAGUGACCAGGGAGAAAUGACAUGUCUGCUCGAGGAGAUGGACCGACUGAUCAGUAGUUGAAGCCUUAUUGUGUGGCUAUGAGGUCGUACUUUAAAGCUCCUUCCUUUGAUGUGGUAUUUGGGAAUAAUGAAGGCUAGCUACUAAGCUGCGGAUGAUAUUAAGGAAUCAAGAUGUGUUUGAAGAUUAGACCUCCAUUCCCAUGGAGACACUACUUUCAAAAAACACAUUAUGUGCUUGAUAGAAAUGACAGCGACCAUGUUGUUGAGGAAAGGGACAAGAUUCACAGAGUGUUAAAUGAGGUAAGUACUUUCCGCUUUAUCAGCCCGGGUGCCUCAAGUGUACAUUCUGGAUCAUGAUUAAAAAACUUCCAGUGGAGUAGGUUGUGGGGAUUGGGUACCCAUGCACACUAACUUGUUAGCCAAUAAGUUCAGCUCCGUAUAUACAUGGUUAACUGGUGGAUUAUACAGUGAAGUACAAGCACUUGCAAUCAUUAAUAAGAUGUGAGUAAAGCUCAUUUGGUGUUGUAAGCAUCUGUAUAACAUCUAAGAAGUCUCCUUCAAUUUGUAAUGGCCUUAGGUGGUAAGACUUGGCUUAAAGUCCUUGCAGUAGAGCAUGCAUUUCAACAAUAACUAUGGAUUCUUUUGGGAUUGUUCCACCAAGUUGAGAAUACAAUUACUCAAAGCUAAAUGUUUGUUCAAUCUAUUUUGUUGGUUCAAUCAGUCAUAUGUGAAUAAUUCUAUUCUUUUCUUAGAUUUUGUUAUUUCUUUAAUUCUAGACCACUCAUAGUCAUGUUUAAGUCUCCUCUAGAUUAUAUGAUUUUGUAGCUAAGCUUUGCUGGAAUUUUUGAAGACCCCAGAAGUAAGCAUACAUGUCAGUGGGAUUUUACAUAGAUCCUGUGCAUAAAAAGGAUGUCAUGAAAGCUAGGGUUAUGCUUGAGAAGAAGAAAGAGUAUGCAACCUACAGUUCAAGGGACCCAAAUUGAUGAUUUGGAAUUCUUAUUGAUCAGCUCACAGAAGAGUCCAAAGUGGAUAUUCCCUAAGGGUGGUUGGGAAACUGAUGAGACAUUAGAAGAUGUUGCUUUAAGAGCCUUUGAUGUUAAAGUGACACGGGAAGCUCGGGAACUUUCAGAUGAACUUGGUGUCAAGGUUUUUAUGACUGAUAUUAUAUAUCACUUAUUUGAUUAGUUUAAAGCCUACAUUGACACUAUCAAGGAAGAAAAAAGAAGUUGCUCAAGAAGCAGUCUUCCCCUGUACAUGUGCUCAAGAUUGUACUGAAUUGUGUCUUCAACAAGAAGGAAAAUAUAUAAUUAAAUUUUAAAUAAAAAGUAAUUUUC